UUUUUAAGGCUUGAUUUUUGAUAUACAUGGUAGAACUUAAUACUACUUUAGGAACUUCAGAACAAAGGAAGCAGCUUAAUGAUCCUGAGGGAAUUUCCUCUGAUGGUGGCCUUUAUAUUAUCAGAAAAAGAUCCUAUUUUCAGUUUUGUGUGAGCAAGUGUUUCUAAUGUAAAGAGAUAUAAGGAUAUAAAAUUUUGAGAAUUGCAUCUUAAACCUGGAAAUUAUGACUUAUAGCUAAAAUGCCUUAGACAUGAGGUUUCUGCUCAGAAUUACAGUUUUCCCAGUUCCUCCCAAACCUCAGCCAGGACUUAAGCUGAUAUGCAAAUAGAAGAAGCCUGGAACACUCAGCAGGAGACAGAUUUCAGGCCCAAGGAAAAAAAGAGUUAAAGUGUCUUUUUACCUGAACUCAAACUAGACCCCAACCAAAAAGUAAAUUAUAUGGUAUUUAUUAAUUACUGGCCAGUCAUCUUUUUUUAGGACUCUUGCUUUUUCUUAGAUUCUGUAUUUUUUUUGGAGCUCAUGAUUUUAAUCCCACAGACAGGUUAAUGUUUUCUGAUCAGUUCUAUUUCUGAUCAACUGUGGAGUUUUUAAACAUUGCAAUGGAGAUUUCACCUGAAAAAGCUACAAGGGUGUUACACUUGUGUUAUGUGUUGUAUGUCAGUAUGUCUGGAUGUGUGUAUGUCCAUAUAUCCUGCAGUGAUAUGACAAUUGACAGAUGAGGAGCGCUCAUUAAAAAAUUUAGAAAUGGAUCCAAAUAUCUUUGAUUCACGUGGUUCAAAUGGUUCAAUUUACAUUGGGUAAACAGAUAUGUCUAUAAAAUUGGGUAAACAGUUGAUGUCUAUAAAAUAAUCUGCUUAAAUUCAGAAAUUUACAGAUAUUGUUUUAAAGUGUGAACAGAAGGAGGUUAUCAGAUGGAAAAGAAAAACUAGAACGUUUUAGGUAUGGAUUUAAUAGAGGGAAAAUGUGUUUCUGGAUAAGAGAGUCUAUGUGAUUAAGUAAUUAAGAAGGUUUAAGUAAGUGAUAAAAAAGGUUUGUGUAAGUUGGUUAUGUGUGUAAGUUUUUGAGCAAAUAAUCUUAAAGAAAUUAAAGAUUAUACAACUAUGGUUAAACAACAGCUGUUAUUUUUCAAUAUUGUAAUCUUGUUACUUUAAAAGCUAACCUUGGUUAAUAUAAAAACAUCAAUAUAAUUAUGGUGCUACUAAUGUGUUCAUAUCUUCCAGGUAUACAAGUCUGUAAAGUAGAAGCUUCAAAAGAACAUUGUAUGAAGCUGGUGUUCUAAAGUUGUAUGGUAAUUUUAGGCUUAAAAGAAAAAAACAUGUUGGAGAUUUGUUUAUAUCAUUUGUGUUCUACGAUUGGACUUGUUAUCAAUAAGAUACAUGUUACUUUUUACACUGAGAUACAAUUUAAAUGUAUUUUUAAGUUAAUGAGAGCCUAAUCUGUGUAAAGGUUUUAUUGUAAAACACCAAAGUACUUUGCUACUUUUCUAUAAAAGGUUAAAAGCUUUCAGCCUUUAAUUCAUGUUUUAGGUGUGAUAUUAUGUUGUGUUAGCUAAUGUUCAUGUAAACUUGAACAACAAUUUAUGUAAACUUUGUAAAAUGAUCAGCUUCAGAACUAUAGUACUUGAGAUUUAUAAAGAGCCCUGCCUUACUUGAGAUAAGGCUCUGUCCCAUCUCACUACAUGUGAAAGUGGCUAUGAAAGAAGUAAGCCAGAUUUCAGUACAGUUAAAGUUGUGUCCAAAAGUAGGUUUUUGCCAAAAUUACUAGGAUCUCAAAUAGGGAAUUAUGAUGUAUAACUCUGCCAGAAUUCAAGGUAGCCAUUAUGUAAGCUAAAUAUGUUUUUACCCUAGUUAGUUUUGUUUUGUAUUUUGCUUAUAGAUGGUUUAAGGAUUGCCUGUUAAUGUUUUAAAGUGGUAUUGCUUUAAGAACACAACCUGGGUCAACAUAAGAUAAGGAGUUAUCACCUACAGGAUAGAGAGAUAGACAUUAAAGCCCAGUGCUCUUAAUAGAAGGCUGUUAACUUAUUUGCUGGAUGUUUAAGAUUAAGUUUUAAAAUUAAAAAUUUGGCUCUUGCCCUCUGAGUCAGUCUGAAUCAGGGAAUAGGGGACUUCUCCAAAGGGCUCUGCAACUCUAGGCCACAUAACCUCCUGAGCAGGGAGAUUAAUGAGACCAGUGGAGGACAGAAAGCCAAUCGGUGCAUUUGCUUUGAAGAGAAGGGUCAUCAGAAAAGGGGAAACAUCCCUGAUGCUUCCGAGGGAAGCCACAUGGUCAAGCAAGGCCUGGACCCAUCCUAAGACCACCUAUCACUCGAAUGGCCCUCAAGCCUAAUACUUCUCAAUUGGACUUUUAUCAUGGACCACUCGAUAGACCCGAUAUUUUUAAAGGGGGACUCCAAACUGCUUGCCCCACACCGUCCCUUUUCAGCCUGAAGAAGCCAGAAAGAUUCUCUUCGCCCCCCCCCCUUCCUUACAGCAGUAUGGAGUUCCCAAAUUAGAGGGGGAAAUGAAGCCAGAUUUUAAUUUAGGUAGUCAGUGUAGUUAGAUAAAUUGGGGUCUAAUAUUGAGUGGAAUCUAAAAUGGAGGCCAUGCUGAAAAUGAUUCCAGGGAACGCAAAACAACUCAUGAAAUGUGAAACCCUUCAAUAAUUGUGAUGCAUUACUUUUAAGAUUAAAAGUAGUCAGAAAAAGGAGUGGGGAAUGUAAGGGUAAAAGAAAUUGAAGUUAAAGCGUAAAAGUUAAAGGGUAAAAGACCGGGUGUUGUAAAGUUUCUAAGCUGCAAGGUCUGAGUUAAAAUGUAAAGGAUUAGGUAUUGUUAGGUUCCUAUGCUACCUGCAAAACCUGAAAUUUCUGUAGCUGUUAAGACAAUGCUUGGAACUGCCCAGUAAAUAUUUCCCCUGACUAUUUGGUUGUUUAAUAAAGGCUCUGUGUGGUCGCACAUAGGCAUUGCAGGGCCUGGACCAAUCAGUUUAAAUGUAACCCCCUCCUUAGGAAUGACCUGUCACUCCAGCCUGACCUGUUCCUGCCAAUGAAUGAACUAAUCAUGUUUAGGAGUUGUUGUUCAAUUUUCCCGUGCCUCAUGAUGAUUUGUUCUGAUGUAUACAAAGCCCUCCGCCCUCCCCAAAAAGUGUACUUAAGCAGUGCUCAGCCCCUGCUCGGGGCUCUGGGCUGCUUUCCCUUCUUGAGUGGGCACGGAACCCCAGCAUGCUGGUUCAAUAAAUCCCCUUCUGCCAAUUGCA
Long non-coding RNA from Marmota monax (woodchuck), 3231 nucleotides. RefSeq lists it as uncharacterized. NCBI's taxonomy places the organism in Eukaryota, Metazoa, Chordata, Mammalia, Rodentia, Sciuridae. The record is from RefSeq and is a predicted model, not a curated record. The transcript has 2 exons.